Molecule: long non-coding RNA, 333 nt
Filed under: Capsella rubella
Lineage: Eukaryota; Viridiplantae; Streptophyta; Magnoliopsida; Brassicales; Brassicaceae
Description: long non-coding RNA (CRUB_LNC000826)
Source: RNAcentral
ACAAACUCUAUAUCAGUAUGCAUUACAAUCACCAAUAAUGAUGGUUGCUAACAAAAUUUUGGCCAAAAUUUUUUGCCACCACCAUUAUUUUUUAUUGUUAAAAAUAAAUAAAUAAGGAUAAUUGCAUUGCCAAACGUUUAUUAGAGGUUCUCAAAAAAAAUAAAAAAAAAUAAAAAGGUCUCACGGUCAUGACAACAAGAUUAACUAAACUACAAAUCAUACUUCAAUCUAUUAGAAGAAAUGGUCUAUAAUUCUUAAUCUAAGAAAAUUAAGAACUGUAACUUAGCUUUGAAACUUCAAUAGCUGGAAUGCCUGAACCAAAUACAUGCAUAG